RNAcentral lists this long non-coding RNA (547 nucleotides) under Salvia miltiorrhiza (redroot sage). RNAcentral describes it as "long non-coding RNA (SMIL_LNC014392)". Lineage: Eukaryota; Viridiplantae; Streptophyta; Magnoliopsida; Lamiales; Lamiaceae. The record is from RNAcentral.
AAUACACGAACUAUUUUCAAAUUUGCAUAUUGCACAUCACCUUCAAAAAUAGCCUCACAAUACAUCACCUUUUAAUUUUAUCGUAAAUUGCACACGGUGAAAGUUCCGGCAAUUCUUAAGUUUGACCGGCGAUGACGUGGACAAUAUUUAACAUUACAUGGCAUUCCUCGUGGCUUUUUUUACACGCUGGCAAGCCACGUAAGCAAAACGACGUCGUUUUGCUAUUUUGAAGAAUUAAAAAAAAAAUCCUUACUUUUCCGGCGAGCCAUUCCAGAAUCCGGCGAGCCAUCACCAUUUUCAGAAUCCGGCAAGCCACUGUUUUCCCUCACCUCCACCUUAACCACCACCACAAAAAUCUCCACCACAAAAAUCAAAGAAAUCAAACAUCAAAGAAAUCAAAGAAAUCUCCACCGCCCCUUCGAGCAUCUGCAACUCCGACGCCGACGCAGCAGCAGACCGGCGCCCACCACAGCCUCCCUCUCCCCUGCAAUUCCGACGUCGGACGCCGCCCCUCGUCUCUCAUUCUAACUCAAAACACCAAAACCCC